UCAAAGUCUUUUAAGAGCAAAACGGUGGAUCUUUGGCAUCUGGAGCCGAAGAAGGACGUAGCAUCUGCGAUAAGCCUCGGGGGAACUGAUAAGCGAGUUUUGAUCCGAGGGUGUCCGAAUGGGGGAAACCCCGCCAGGGCGCGUGCGUACCUGGUGACUCCCGCCUGAAUAUAUAGGGCGGGUAGAGGGAACGU
Microbacterium sp. is the source of this 194-nucleotide non-coding RNA. NCBI's taxonomy places the organism in Bacteria, Bacillati, Actinomycetota, Actinomycetes, Micrococcales, Microbacteriaceae. The record is from Rfam.